UGCCAGCAGCCGCGGUAACACGUAGGGUGCAAGCGUUGUCCGGAUUUAUUGGGCGUAAAGAGCUCGUAGGUGGUUCAGUAAGUCGGAUGUGAAAACUCAAGGCUCAACCUUGAGACGCCAUCCGAUACUGCUGUGACUUGAGUACGGUAGAGGAGUGUGGAAUUCCUGGUGUAGCGGUGAAAUGCGCAGAUAUCAGGAGGAACACCGACAGCGAAGGCAGCACUCUGGGCCGAUACUGACACUGAGGAGCGAAAGCAUGGGGAGCAAACAGGAUUAGAUA
This 280-nucleotide ribosomal RNA is filed under the name uncultured bacterium. Its description in RNAcentral is "partial 16S ribosomal RNA". It matches the Rfam family "Bacterial small subunit ribosomal RNA", at positions 506 to 784 of the family's 1533-position model. The record is from RNAcentral.